GUGCUUCGAAUCGGCUGAUAAAUUGAUCUGGGUGAGUGAAGGGUAGAUUGAUAAUUGGACCAAUCCCAUCAGGAAACCAUCGCUUAAGAAUGGGCGGUUGGGAAAUCGAAAUAAUCUCAUCCCCAUCCGAUGACGUUGCUUGAAAAAUUUCCGACCACAUAUUGAAGAAAUUCCAGUAGGAGGUUCCGUCGCCAAUGGCAUGGUUGAAGGAACAGGCGAUGAAGACUCCAUCGAGUAGUUCUGUUACUUGAACGGAAAGUAAAGGCAUAGUAUGACCGUCGUAAUUAACAGCUUUGUGAUGGUCAAAGAAAGAUUGGACCAGUAAAGGCACAUCGACCGGGGACAGAACAUCGGAAAUUGUGAUGUCAAGGGCUGCGUGGAUGAACUUGGCUCCGGGACUGUUAAGGCAGUCAACAUAAAUGGAGACAGAAGAUUGUUGGUCGUUUGAAACGGUGGAAAGGCGGCCGGAGAGUGGGUAGAAAUGAAAGAGAGCAAUGGAGAGGGAAUUUUGAAGGCGGUGAAGAAGAUGGAGCAUGAAAGGGUGUGGAGAUUGAUUGAUUAGAUGGGAAGGUUUAGGAAAGAGGAGGCCUUUCUGGAUAUAGUGGGCGGAGAGCAUGGCGAGAUCUCCAGGGAUCAAAUGAUAGGGUUGAUUUGAUUGUUGGGGAAGGAAUUUUGGUUUGACAAAGCAUUCUGAGAUGCGUCGGAUUGAAGGAUGAUGGGAAUCCAUGAAGGUGGGAGUGAGAGAGAUGUGUUUUCAGAUUCGUUGCUCCUUCUAAUUAGGUAUUAAUUCAACUUUGAUCUCUCUUAUUUAAUAAAGAAGCGGUGGACAGUCGGCAGUGGGCAGUGGGCAGUGGGCACAGAAAUUUCACAAAAAUAAAAGUUCUGUCCCAAUUAAACCCAUUUUUUUUAAAAGAAAUUAUGUCUUUAAAUUGACCUACAACCUCCUUUUUAUUUAUUUAAGGUGGAUUAAAAUUUACUUUGAUACUUCAAUUUUAUAUAUAUUUUUUUAUUUUGAUUUCUAAACUUUUCUAAACUUUUGUUUCACUCUUUUAAAACUUUUUUAAAAAUUUAGUUACGUCAUUGGUGCAAAGUGUUCUGUUAAUUUUCAAAUGGACUUAUAUGAAAGAUCAUACUCCAAAUUGAUUAUAUCUCUUAAAUUGUCCCUAAAAUUUUAAUGUCUAGCCAACAUAAAAUUAUAAUCAACACAUUUAUCAAAUAAACUUAAAAAUUAACUUUUCUUCAUUUUUUUAAAAUUGAAAUUUGACAAGCAAAUCAAAAGAACUUUUCUGUAUUGUGUUAACAUCCUUGACAAGUAAAAUAAUAACGAUUAAAAUCUUAAAGGCAACUUAACUUUUGAAUUCUUCAAUAAAAAAUCAAUUUACCAUUUGAUCUAUAAUUAAAAAUAGAAAACACUAGUAUUUUAAGAGUGAUAUUCUUACUUGACAAUCUUGUCAUCCACGUAUAGAAGUAGUCUCAUCACCCGAUUUAAGGAACUAUUUAAAAUGUUUAGGAACAAAAAAAAGGGGGGAUAUAGAGUAUUAUUUAUUUUUCUGGUGAAAGACCAUAUCUCCAAUACUUGAAGAUCAAAUCGUUACUGUAUCUCUUUUUAGGUAUGAAGGGCAACCUUUGCAAUGAAUUUGGGAAUGAAGAACUAACAAGAAGUGAAAGCAUUCUCUCAAAAGUAAUUUACAAAUUUGAAAUACUCAAUAAAGCAAUCUUCACAACACGGUAUAUCUCUGUCAAGAAUUUGAUAAAAAGAAAAAAAAGGGAGAUGGGAGAGACAACUAUGGUGUGUUUUUUUUAGUAAAUUUGAAGAUUGUAAGUAUGUGAAAUUGUAGAGAAAAUGGAUUUAAAAAGGGAGAGGGAGAUUUCUGGCCAUUAGCCACCAACAUAAAAUAAUUUAUACUUUGCAUUAUUUUUAAACUAAGUCGACCAUAUCAUUAGUCUAUAAGAAAUAAACUAUACUUGUAAUGUUUUUAAAAUGAUAUUAAAUUUUAUGAAUAGAGAAAUGUUGG
This 2015-nucleotide long non-coding RNA is filed under the name Cucumis sativus (cucumber). Its description in RNAcentral is "long non-coding RNA (CSAT_LNC001709)". The record is from RNAcentral. Lineage: Eukaryota; Viridiplantae; Streptophyta; Magnoliopsida; Cucurbitales; Cucurbitaceae.